GACGAACGCUGGCGGCGUGCCUAAUACAUGCAAGUCGAGCGGACGGAUGGGAGCUUGCUCCCAGCCCGUCAGCGGCGGACGGGUGAGUAACACGUGGGCAACCUGCCUGUAAGACUGGGAUAACUCCGGGAAACCGGGGCUAAUACCGGAUAACUCUUUCCCUCACAUGAGGGAAAGCUGAAAGAUGGCAUCUCGCUAUCACUUACAGAUGGGCCCGCGGCGCAUUAGCUAGUUGGGGAGGUAACGGCUAACCAGGGCGACGAUGCGUAGCCGACCUGAGAGGGUGAUAGGCCACAUUGGGACUGAGACACGGACAAGAGUACUAAGGGAGGCAGCAGUAGGGAAUCUUACGCAAUGGACGAAAGUCUGACGGAGCAACGCCGCGUGAGUGAUGAAGGUUUUCGGAUCGUAAAACUCUGUUGUCAGGGAAGAACAAGUACCGGAGCAACUGCAGGUACCUUGAAGGUACCUGACCAGAAAGACACGGAUAACUACGUG
Molecule: ribosomal RNA, 498 nt
Filed under: uncultured bacterium
Lineage: Bacteria
Description: partial 16S ribosomal RNA
Rfam family: Bacterial small subunit ribosomal RNA
Source: RNAcentral